This 524-nucleotide ribosomal RNA is filed under the name uncultured bacterium. Its description in RNAcentral is "partial 16S ribosomal RNA". It matches the Rfam family "Bacterial small subunit ribosomal RNA", at positions 28 to 523 of the family's 1533-position model. The record is from RNAcentral.
GACGAACGCUGGCGGCGUGCCUAAUACAUGCAAGUCGAGCGCAGGAAACUGACGGAACUCUUCGGAGGGAAGGCAGUGGAAUGAGCGGCGGACGGGUGAGUAACACGUAAGGAACCUGCCUCAAGGAUUGGGAUAACUCCGAGAAAUCGGAGCUAAUACCGGAUAGUUCAUCGGACCGCAUGGUCCGUUGAUGAAAGGCGCUUCGGCGUCACCUUGAGAUGGCCUUGCGGUGCAUUAGCUAGUUGGUGGGGUAACGGCCCACCAAGGCGACGAUGCAUAGCCGACCUGAGAGGGUGAUCGGCCACACUGGGACUGAGACACGGCCCAGACUCCUACGGGAGGCAGCAGUAGGGAAUCUUCCACAAUGGACGAAAGUCUGAUGGAGCAACGCCGCGUGAGUGAUGAAGGUUUUCGGAUCGUAAAACUCUGUUGUAAGGGAAGAACACGUACGAGAGGGAAUGCUCGUACCUUGACGGUACCUUACGAGAAAGCCACGGCUAACUACGUGCCAGCCGCCGCAGUAA